Eptesicus fuscus (big brown bat) is the source of this 860-nucleotide long non-coding RNA. RefSeq lists it as uncharacterized. The transcript has 2 exons. The record is from RefSeq and is a predicted model, not a curated record. NCBI's taxonomy places the organism in Eukaryota, Metazoa, Chordata, Mammalia, Chiroptera, Vespertilionidae.
GGGGUGGGGGUGCCGGACGUGCUCAGAAUUACCCUUUCAGCCUGCUAGAUGCCGAAGCCGGAGAAAAGUGAAUGUUAUUUUGAGAACUCAGUGAGCAUGCGAGGGAUCGCGUGCCCAGCGGUGGGAACUCAGUUGUCUGUUGUGGAGGCUUCCAGUGGGAGGACGCCUUCCUACAGCCUUGCAGUUGCUUUUCCGAAAGCGGCAACCGAUCGGCUUCCUUCUCUUAGCCCGGAAGGUUAACGCCAUUGAGAAAGCGGACCUCGGAAGCUGGAGCGCCUGUGUCUGCUCGCGCGCUGGGUUAACCAGACACGGUUGUGUGAAUUUCACAGGCCAAUACAUUUCCAAUUGCGGAAGACUUUUCAGAAAUGCUUACGUAUCUGAGAGUGGUAUGUGCUAGCCCCGGGGGAGAGAGGUCGCCUUAGCGUGGCUGUUAAUUGAGACUCUGCAAGGGGUGUUUGGAGCUGGAGGAGCAAGCUGCGUGUGUUUCUUCAGAAGGCGCGGUGGGAAUCCCGUGCUCACUGUGGUCUCAGGCUAUCUAUCCCCAGAGGGUUCUGGUGGCUCCUUGCAAGUUCGCUGUAACCUGUGUGACAGUCCAUUACGCCCGUGCCUGCCCCACUGUGCCACGCAGCUUUUGGAAAGCAUUUGUUUGUCUCGUCAGAGUCGCAAGAAUUGUAGUUACAGGGUUCAGUGAAAUAUCUUGUUUACCGACCUGCAGUGACGGGCUUAAAUUGAACAGCGAGGGGACACUAUGCGUUUGCGCCAGUACACAAAUGUUUGUAUCAACAGAUGCUGUUAAUUGUGUUCCCUUUUUUCCCCGAUCAUUUUUAAUGUAGCUGUGUUAUAAAAAGUCCUCCACGCUG